AUGAGACCUCAGGUCAGGCGGGGCUACCCGCUGAGUUUAAGCAUAUCAAUAAGCGGAGGA
This 60-nucleotide ribosomal RNA is filed under the name Glycyrrhiza glabra. Its description in RNAcentral is "partial 26S ribosomal RNA". It matches the Rfam family "Eukaryotic large subunit ribosomal RNA", at positions 1 to 57 of the family's 3401-position model. The record is from RNAcentral. RNAcentral also lists the same sequence under 1 other name. Lineage: Eukaryota; Viridiplantae; Streptophyta; Magnoliopsida; Fabales; Fabaceae.